GGCUCUUUAGCGUUAGUUUCCAAUCCGCUUCUACGAACAGUCCACGCUCCACUUUAUGAACGAAGCAAUGCUCUUGUAGUUAUCAACUGUGGGACUCUGAAAAAUAAUAUUCCAAAAGUCUCUAGAACUGUAAGUCCGAGUAUGUCUGACGUUUCAAUCCGUAUUAAGCGGCUUUUAGAAGACUGUGACGAC
Molecule: long non-coding RNA, 192 nt
Organism: Zophobas morio
Lineage: Eukaryota; Metazoa; Arthropoda; Insecta; Coleoptera; Tenebrionidae
Exons: 3
Source: RefSeq, a predicted model, not a curated record